Neofelis nebulosa (Clouded leopard) is the source of this 585-nucleotide long non-coding RNA. RefSeq lists it as uncharacterized. The transcript is spliced from 3 exons. The record is from RefSeq and is a predicted model, not a curated record. Lineage: Eukaryota; Metazoa; Chordata; Mammalia; Carnivora; Felidae.
UUUAGAACACACAGUCAUUCUUAAUCUCAUGUUGCUUCAGACACACCACUGCUCCAGGCCAGCAAGAAUGUUUUUCUGGUUUAGGGUGAAGCCACUCAUUUAUGGUCUGCAGCCAAACCUGCAAAAUUUCCAAGGUCUGCCAGUAUUAGCAAAGGGAACAAUUCUCUCCAAAAAUGCACCAUAAACAAGUUAGAUGCAGCUCAGGAAUGCGACAAUAUUUUAAUAUAAGAAAAUGGCUUAUAAAGAUAUGUGACCCUCCCAACCUGGGAACUUGUAAAAUAACAAUCACCACUGCACAGAUGAUACCUGGCCUCAGAAUGGUGUUGUCCAGCACUGGGAUUUCCUUCAAAAGUAUUGGCUUACCAGUGCAGGACUCAGAAAGACUACAGUGUGACUUUUUAGUACAAGAAGUUUCAUCUAGUCUGAGGCCUAAGGUGGAAAUAAUCAGAAAUCAUCAAGGAAGACUUUUGCUGUCAUCAUUUACAGUGCACUGUUACAGACUCUUAUCAACAUAUUGUCCCUUUCUGCUUUUACUCUCUUGGUAGAAAAUGCCUGCAAUCAUUUGAAAUAUAGGCAUUUCCCAGC